AUUCAUCGUCGAGUCAUCCAUUCAACUGAAACUUUUUUUUUUAAGUUAUAUUCGCAAAACACCAAUAUGGUCAGUAUAUUAUAUAUAUCGUCAAUACUAAUUCUGUUCGUCACGACUGUAUAUGGUUCGGGCGAUUCUAAAGCCGAUUAGGAUUCGAUUUUACCGGCUGUAGAAAAAUUGUCGAGCAUGGUGGAAAUGAUCCUACAAGAAGUGGCGGAUUUGAAACAAUCUUCGAUCGAAAAUAAGGCAAAUAUGUACGAACUGCAUGGUUUAUGUCCGGUGAGAUACAACAACAAAUGUUUCUUUGCCGUCUUCGAUUACGCUAUAGGAGUCACUUACGAUAUCGCGGAGGUACUCUGCGACGAAAAACGCGCGAAAUUGGCAAAUGUAUAUACUCUGAAGAACAUAUGCAAGCAUUAGGAAAUUACAUAGGACCUUAUAUUGUGCCCACCAAGGGAGAAAAAACUGUUAUCCACGUAGAUACUGGAAUGAAAUUUACCCCGACAACCGGAAUCAUCACCCGCACUGACGGCACCAAAUCGAAUCUCGACCAAUGACUUCCAGGAUAUCCCAAGUACGCGUCCCAUCGAACAACAAUUGGCUUGAGUGUACAUGGAAACCCACCCGGCAUAUACAUGUACGAUGCACAAAAAAGCUAUGGUUAUGAUGGCGCAUUUUGUGAAAUAAAUC
Molecule: non-coding RNA, 690 nt
Organism: Styela clava
Lineage: Eukaryota; Metazoa; Chordata; Ascidiacea; Stolidobranchia; Styelidae
Source: RefSeq, a predicted model, not a curated record